AUGUAUAUGAUUGUUUACCAGUUCUUUGUUACCCCAGCCAAUCAGCUCCCUGCACCUUCAGUGGUGGUCUUUCCACCUUCAGAAGAAGAGCUUAUCACUAAAGGAACAGCCACUCUGGUUUGCCUGGUGAGAAAGCUGGCCGGGGCUCUGGCUGACAUCAGCUGGGCAGCCAGUGAGACGGCAGUGACCAAUGAAGUCCCGCCCAGUCGGCCCUCCAGGGAGUCUGACGGCACCUUCAGUGUGAGCAGCUGCCUGACCGUCUCCGCGGCAGAGUGGAGGGAGGACAGAGUCUAUUCUUGUAUCGUACAGCAGGGGGCCUCGCUCACCCAGCGCUCCAUACAACAAUCUCACUGCUGA
Polyodon spathula (Mississippi paddlefish) is the source of this 357-nucleotide non-coding RNA. The record is from the annotation of a RefSeq genome assembly. NCBI's taxonomy places the organism in Eukaryota, Metazoa, Chordata, Actinopteri, Acipenseriformes, Polyodontidae.